UCCCGAGCUAAGAAAAAAGGUAUUCCCUCUGAUCCAUAUUACUAGACGCACACUUAAUACAACUUUAUAGUAUUAAUAUGGAUAGGAGGGAGUAAUAAAUUCGAUCAAGUGUUCUAUGUACAUACAAAUUUUCGUGAAGAAACUCAUUUGUGAUGCUCCGGAAAGAAAGAUGUUUUGAAAAUGUCAUUUUAAAAUCAUUUUUGGGGGACUGGUUGUUUUGUCCAUAUCACCACAGAUGUCAUUUCUUCUCAGAAAUGUGCAUGUGGAUAGAGCACACGACCAUCUUUGGUAUAAAAAGAUUCAGAAAAAAUUAUUUUGUUUUACUUUUUGGGGGAUUUCACCGCUCACCUCGUAUGCAUAUGAGCUACGGUGUGAACAUGCACUUUCGGAUGGGCCGAACCUUCACACUGAGCUUAUCCAAAAAAUCAAGUCACCACUUGAUCUAUCACCCAGUAUUGGACCUCCCGUAGUGAGAGUGUCAUAAGAGUAUCAUGGACUGCCAUCUAAGCAAAAAAUAUGCCAUGUCACUACAAUCGUUUUCUUCAUCUACAUCAGCAACAUUUUCUUUAGCAAUUGAUACAAUUGCUCUUUCAUAUUCUUCUGUAGUGGCGGGGUCGGCUUCUUGAAGAAUACUGACCGACGGAGAUGCAGGGGAGAACUAGGACCUGCAAAUCCUUUGCAAUGGAGAUUGAGGCUUAUCUGAUUCAAGGUGAAUAGGCACAAUGUCAAAGGGCGGUUCCGAAGAUUUCACAUGAGGCGUGGUGUGGAGAGGAGAAUUUGAAUGUUCUUGAGCCUAAUAGUCACCAUGAAUUCUUGAUUUUCGGGCAUCUCUAAUAUCCACAUGCUCGCUUUCUUUACCUGCAACUUCUUCAGUUUCUGUAGGGUGAGGCGAUGAUAACAUAAGAGCAGUGUCAUCAAAGGUGAAAAUUUCUUCAUCCAUCUUUUCAUAGGGGGAAUCUUGGGGUUUUCUUCAUAUUUUGCCCCAAACGGCCGACACAAGCGGUGGCAUUGAGGCCAACGGCGGAAAAAG
This 1030-nucleotide long non-coding RNA is filed under the name Triticum aestivum (bread wheat). Its description in RNAcentral is "long non-coding RNA (TAES_LNC018025)". The record is from RNAcentral. Lineage: Eukaryota; Viridiplantae; Streptophyta; Magnoliopsida; Poales; Poaceae.